CCUGGUUGAUCCUGCCAGUAAUCAUAUGCUUGUCUCAAAGAUUAAGCCAUGCAUGUCUAAGUACAUGCCGAAAUAAGGCGAAACCGCGAAUGGCUCAUUAAAUCAGUUAUGGUUCCUUAGAUCGUUUCUUCCUACUUGGAUAACUGUGGCAAUUCUAGAGCUAAUACAUGCAGUGAGCCUGGAGCCCUUUGGGUAACGGGUGCUUUUAUUAGACCAAGAUCGAUCGGGUUUCGGCCCGUAUUGUGUGGUGACUCUGGAUAACUUUGUGCUGAUCGCAUGGCCACGAGCCGGCGACGUUUCUUUCAAGUGUCUGCCUUAUCAACUUUCGAUGGUAGGUUACUUGCUUACCAUGGUUGUUACGGGUAACGGAGAAUCAGGGUUCGAUUCCGGAGAGGGAGCCUGAGAAACGGCUACCACAUCCAAGGAAGGCAGCAGGCGCGCAAAUUACCCACUCCCGGCACGGGGAGGUAGUGACGAAAAAUAACAAUACGGGACUCUUUUGAGGCCCCGUAAUUGAAAUGAGUACACUCUAAAUCCUUUAACGAGGAUCAAUUGGAGGGCAAGUCUGGUGCCAGCAGCCGCGGUAAUUCCAGCUCCAAUAGCGUAUACUAAAGCUGCUGCGGUUAAAAAGCUCGUAGUUGGAUCUCAGUUCCAGACGAGUAGUGCAUCUACCCGAUGCGACGGCUCGGACUGAACAUCAUGCCGGUUCUUUCUUGGUGCACUUCAUUGUGUGCCUCGAGAUGGCCGGUGCUUUUACUUUGAAAAAAUUAGAGUGCUCAACGCAGGCGAGUCGCCUGAAUAAACUUGCAUGGAAUAAUAGAACAAGACCUCGUUUCUGUUCUGUUGGUUUUUGGAAUACGAGGUAAUGAUUAAGAGGGACGGACGGGGGCAUUCGUAUUGCGGCGCUAGAGGUGAAAUUCUUGGACCGUCGCAAGACGAACUACUGCGAAAGCAUUUGCCAAGAAUGUUUUCAUUGAUCAAGAACGAAAGUCAGAGGUUCGAAGGCGAUCAGAUACCGCCCUAGUUCUGACCAUAAACGAUGCCAACCAGCGAUCCGCCUGAGUUACUCAAAUGACUCGGCGGGCAGCUUCCGGGAAACCAAAGUAUUUGGGUUCCGGGGGAAGUAUGGUUGCAAAGCUGAAACUUAAAGGAAUUGACGGAAGGGCACCACCAGGAGUGGAGCCUGCGGCUUAAUUUGACUCAACACGGGAAAACUUACCCGGCCCGGACACUGGGAGGAUUGACAGAUUGAGAGCUCUUUCUUGAUUCGGUGGAUGGUGGUGCAUGGCCGUUCUUAGUUGGUGGAGCGAUUUGUCUGGUUAAUUCCGAUAACGAACGAGACUCUAGCCUAUUAAAUAGGUGCGGGGUUCCCAGCACCUUACAACCUUCUUAGAGGGACAAGCGGCUCCUAGCCGCACGAAACAGAGCAAUAACAGGUCUGUGAUGCCCUUAGAUGUCCGGGGCCGCACGCGCGCUACACUGAAGGAAGCAGCGUGUCUUUAUCCCUGUCUGAAAAGACUGGGUAACCCGUGGAACUUCUUUCGUGAUUGGGAUAGGGGCUUGCAAUUGUUCCCCUUGAACGAGGAAUUCCCAGUAAGCGCGAGUCAUAAGCUCGCGUUGAUUACGUCCCUGCCCUUUGUACACACCGCCCGUCGCUACUACCGA
This 1665-nucleotide ribosomal RNA is filed under the name Rhipicephalus microplus (southern cattle tick). Its description in RNAcentral is "SSU rRNA". It matches the Rfam family "Eukaryotic small subunit ribosomal RNA". The record is from RNAcentral. Lineage: Eukaryota; Metazoa; Arthropoda; Arachnida; Ixodida; Ixodidae.